CAGCAGCCGCGGUAAUACGUAGGUGGCAAGCGUUGUCCGGAAUCAUUGGGCGUAAAGGGCUCGCAGGCGGUUUCUUAAGUCUGAUGUGAAAGCCCCCGGCUCAACCGGGGAGGGUCAUUGGAAACUGGGAAACUUGAGUGCAGAAGAGGAGAGUGGAAUUCCACGUGUAGCGGUGAAAUGCGUAGAGAUGUGGAGGAACACCAGUGGCGAAGGCGACUCUCUGGUCUGUAACUGACGCUGAGGAGCGAAAGCGUGGGGAGCGAACAGGAUUAGAUACCCCGGUAGUCCCUGUCUCUUAUAC
Molecule: ribosomal RNA, 301 nt
Filed under: uncultured bacterium
Lineage: Bacteria
Description: partial 16S ribosomal RNA
Rfam family: Bacterial small subunit ribosomal RNA
Source: RNAcentral